GAGUUUGAUCCUGGCUCAGAGUGAACGCUGGCGGCGUGGAUUAGGCAUGCAAGUCGAGCGAUCCCGUAAGGGAUAGCGGCAAAAGGGUGAGUAACACGUAAGUAAUCUGCCUUCAAGUCGGGGAUAGCAUCGUGAAAACGGUGGUAAUAUCCGAUGUUAUCAAGGAUCCGCAUGGAUUCUUGAUCAAAGAUGGGGACCGUAAGGCCUGUCACUUGGAGAUGAGCUUGCGUACCAUCAGCUAGUUGGUAGGGUAAUGGCCUACCAAGGCUAAGACGGUUAGCUGGUCUGAGAGGACGACCAGCCACAUUGGGACUGAGACACUGCCCUGACUCCUACGGGAGGCUGCAGUCGAGAAUAUUUAGCAAUGGGCGAAAGCCUGACGCAGCAACGCCGCGUGAGUGAUGAAGGCCUUCGGGUCAUAAAGCUCUGUCAGAGGGGAAGAACCGCCGGGUGGCUAAUACCUGCCUGGUCUGACGGUACCCUCAAAGGAAGCACCGGCUAACUCCGUGCCAGCAGCCGCGGUAAUACAAGGGCGMMY
Molecule: ribosomal RNA, 538 nt
Filed under: uncultured Geobacteraceae bacterium
Lineage: Bacteria; Pseudomonadati; Thermodesulfobacteriota; Desulfuromonadia; Geobacterales; Geobacteraceae
Description: bacterial SSU rRNA
Rfam family: Bacterial small subunit ribosomal RNA
Source: RNAcentral